GACGAACGCUGGCGGCGUGCUUAACACAUGCAAGUCGAACGGAAAGGCCCUGCUUUUGUGGGGUGCUCGAGUGGCGAACGGGUGAGUAACACGUGAGUAACCUGCCCUUGACUUUGGGAUAACUUCAGGAAACUGGGGCUAAUACCGGAUAGGAGCUCCUGCUGCAUGGUGGGGGUUGGAAAGUUUCGGCGGUUGGGGAUGGACUCGCGGCUUAUCAGCUUGUUGGUGGGGUAGUGGCUUACCAAGGCUUUGACGGGUAGCCGGCCUGAGAGGGUGACCGGCCACAUUGGGACUGAGAUACGGCCCAGACGCCUACGGGAGGCAGCAGUGGGAAAUAUUGCACAAUGGGCGGAAGCCUGAUGCAGCAACGCCGCGUGCGGGAUGACGGCCUUCGGGUUGUAAACCGCUUUCGCCUGUAACGAAGCGUGAGUGACGGUAAUGGGUAAAGAAGCACCGGCUAACUACGUG
Molecule: ribosomal RNA, 468 nt
Filed under: uncultured bacterium
Lineage: Bacteria
Description: partial 16S ribosomal RNA
Rfam family: Bacterial small subunit ribosomal RNA
Source: RNAcentral